Molecule: unclassified non-coding RNA, 102 nt
Organism: Cercocebus atys (sooty mangabey)
Lineage: Eukaryota; Metazoa; Chordata; Mammalia; Primates; Cercopithecidae
Rfam family: Y RNA
About the family: Y RNAs are components of the Ro ribonucleoprotein particle (Ro RNP), in association with Ro60 and La proteins. The Y RNAs and Ro60 and La proteins are well conserved, but the function of the Ro RNP is not known. In humans the RNA component can be one of four small RNAs -- hY1, hY3, hY4 and hY5.
Source: Ensembl
AGCUGGUCCAAGUGCAAUGGUGUUUACAACUGAUUGAUCACAACCAAUUACAGAUUUCUUUGCUCCUUCUCCACUCCCACUGCUUCACCUAACUAGCCUUAA